UACAGAGGUCUCAAGCGUUGUUCGGAUUCAUUGGGCGUAAAGGGUGCGUAGGCGGCGCGGUAAGUCGGGUGUGAAAUCUCGGAGCUUAACUCCGAAACUGCAUUCGAUACUGCCGUGCUUGAGGACUGGAGAGGAGACUGGAAUUUACGGUGUAGCGGUGAAAUGCGUAGAUAUCGGGAGGAACACCUGUGGCGAAAGCGGCUCACUGGACCAUAACUGACGCUGAGGCACGAAAGCUAGGGGAGCAAACAGG
RNAcentral lists this ribosomal RNA (253 nucleotides) under uncultured bacterium. RNAcentral's name for it is "partial 16S ribosomal RNA". It matches the Rfam family "Bacterial small subunit ribosomal RNA", at positions 524 to 776 of the family's 1533-position model. The record is from RNAcentral.